Molecule: ribosomal RNA, 425 nt
Filed under: uncultured bacterium
Lineage: Bacteria
Description: bacterial SSU rRNA
Rfam family: Bacterial small subunit ribosomal RNA
Source: RNAcentral
GUGGGGAAUAUUGGACAAUGGGCGCAAGCCUGAUCCAGCCAUGCCGCGUGAGUGAUGAAGGCCCUAGGGUUGUAAAGCUCUUUCACCGGUGAAGAUAAUGACGGUAACCGGAGAAGAAGCCCCGGCUAACUUCGUGCCAGCAGCCGCGGUAAUACGAAGGGGGCUAGCGUUGUUCGGAAUUACUGGGCGUAAAGCGCACGUAGGCGGACAUUUAAGUCAGGGGUGAAAUCCCAGAGCUCAACUCUGGAACUGCCUUUGAUACUGGGUGUCUUGAGUAUGGAAGAGGUAAGUGGAAUUCCGAGUGUAGAGGUGAAAUUCGUAGAUAUUCGGAGGAACACCAGUGGCGAAGGCGGCUUACUGGUCCAUUACUGACGCUGAGGUGCGAAAGCGUGGGGAGCAAACAGGAUUAGAAACCCGUGUAGUCC